GAGGAGAGAAGCCAUUUCUCUUACUGUCUCCUGUCUCUGAAGAGGAGGAGGAAGUAAAAGUUGAAAAACAAUAGAAAUGAAGUCAGUGGCAAGACCAGCAGGUGCCACUGAUGACCAGGCCUGAGGUUAAAAGAUUAACCCCCCACUCUAACCACAUGUGCUCUCAAUCUAUCACGACCCUUUCACGUGGAACCCCUUAGAGUUGUAAGCCCUUAAACAGGCCAGGAACUCUGUCUUCAGGGAGCUCAGCUCUUAAGACGUGAGUCUGCCGACGCUCCUGACCGAAUAAAACCUCUUCCUUCUUUAA
Long non-coding RNA from Mandrillus leucophaeus (drill), 307 nucleotides. RefSeq lists it as uncharacterized. The record is from RefSeq and is a predicted model, not a curated record. The transcript is spliced from 2 exons. Lineage: Eukaryota; Metazoa; Chordata; Mammalia; Primates; Cercopithecidae.